GACGAACGCUGGCGGCGUGCCUAACACAUGCAAGUUGAGCGACGAACCAGGGCUUGCCCUGGGGCAAAGCAGCGAGCGGGUGAGUAACACGUGGGUAACCUACCCCGAUAACCGGGACAACCCGAGGAAACUCGGGCUAAUACCGGAUGUGCUCACUGGACUUCGGUUCAGUGCGUAAAGGAAGCUUCGGCCUCCGUAUCGGGAGGGGCCCGCGGCCCAUUAGUUUGUUGGUGAGGUAACGGCUCACCAAGACCGCGAUGGGUAGCUGGUCUGAGAGGACGAUCAGCCACACUGGGACUGAGACACGGCCCAGACUCCUACGGGAGGCAGCAGUGGGGAAUCUUGCGCAAUGCGCGAAAGCGUGACGCAGCAACGCCGCGUGGGGGAAGAAGGCCUUCGGGUUGUAAACCCCUUUCAGGAGGGACGAAGGUUCGGCGGUGAAUAGCCGUCCGGACUGACGGUACCUCCACAAGAAGCCCCGGCUAACUACGUG
Molecule: ribosomal RNA, 493 nt
Filed under: uncultured bacterium
Lineage: Bacteria
Description: partial 16S ribosomal RNA
Rfam family: Bacterial small subunit ribosomal RNA
Source: RNAcentral